AAAUAGCUUUAGGGCUAGCCUCAAGUGAUGAUUAUUGGAGGUAGAGCACUGUUUGGACGAGGGGCCCCUCUCGGGUUACCGAAUUCAGACAAACUCCGAAUGCCAAUUAAUUUAACUUGGGAGUCAGAACAUGGGUGAUAAGGUCCGUGUUCGAAAGGGAAACAGCCCAGACCACCAGCUAAGGUCCCAAAAUAUAUGUUAAGUGGAAAAGGAUGUGGCGUUGCCCAGACAACUAGGAUGUUGGCUUAGAAGCAGCCAUCAUUUAAAGAGUGCGUAAUAGCUCACUAGUCGAGUGACACUGCGCCGAAAAUGUACCGGGGCUAAACAUAUUACCGAAGCUGUGGAUUGUCCUUUGGACAAUGGUAGGAGAGCGUUCUAAGGGCGUUGAAGCAUGAUCGUAAGGACAUGUGGAGCGCUUAGAAGUGAGAAUGCCGGUGUGAGUAGCGAAAGACGGGUGAGAAUCCCGUCCACCGAUUGACUAAGGUUUCCAGAGGAAGGCUCGUCCGCUCUGGGUUAGUCGGGUCCUAAGCUGAGGCCGACAGGCGUAGGCGAUGGAUAACAGGUUGAUAUUCCUGUACCACCUAUAAUCGUUUUAAUCGAUGGGGGGACGCAGUAGGAUAGGCGAAGCGUGCGAUUGGAUUGCACGUCUAAGCAGUAAGGCUGAGUAUUAGGCAAAUCCGGUACUCGUUAAGGCUGAGCUGUGAUGGGGAGAAGACAUUGUGUCUUCGAGUCGUUGAUUUCACACUGCCGAGAAAAGCCUCUAGAUAGAAAAUAGGUGCCCGUACCGCAAACCGACACAGGUAGUCAAGAUGAGAAUUCUAAGGUGAGCGAGCGAACUCUCGUUAAGGAACUCGGCAAAAUGACCCCGUAACUUCGGGAGAAGGGGUGCUCUUUAGGGUUAACGCCCAGAAGAGCCG
Molecule: ribosomal RNA, 917 nt
Filed under: Staphylococcus aureus
Lineage: Bacteria; Bacillati; Bacillota; Bacilli; Caryophanales; Staphylococcaceae
Description: partial 23S ribosomal RNA
Rfam family: Bacterial large subunit ribosomal RNA
Source: RNAcentral